UCCAGACUCCUACGGGAGGCAGCAGUGAGGAAUAUUGGUCAAUGGCCGGAAGGCUGAACCAGCCAAGCCGCGUGAAGGACGAAGGUGCCAAGCAUUGUAAACUUCUUUUGUCAAGGGACAAAAUCAGGCUCGAGAGCCUGACCGAGGGUACUUGAAGAAAAAGCAUCGGCUAACUCCGUGCCAGCAGCCGCGGUAAUACGGAGGAUGCGAGCGUUAUCCGGAUUUAUUGGGUUUAAAGGGUGCGUAGGUGGACUGUUAAGUCAGCGGUAAAAGCCCGGGGCUCAACCUGGAGACUGCACUUGAAACUGGGUGUCUUGAGGGCAGGAGAGGAAAGUGGAAUUCCUAGUGUAGCGGUGAAAUGCGUAGAUAUUAGGAGGAACACCAGUGGCGAAGGCGACUUUCUGGACUGUACCUGACGCUGAGGCGCGAAAGCGUGGGUAGCGAACGGGAUUAGAUACCCCAGUAGA
This 467-nucleotide ribosomal RNA is filed under the name uncultured bacterium. RNAcentral's name for it is "bacterial SSU rRNA". It matches the Rfam family "Bacterial small subunit ribosomal RNA", at positions 330 to 794 of the family's 1533-position model. The record is from RNAcentral.